UCUUGGUCAGUAAGUAUUAGGGUUAUUUAUUUUUUUUCAUAUAGCCAUAGUAACUGAAAUAAUUAGGAAGGUAUAUAGUUUCAGAGUUUGUUUUUUAAUUAAGUUUUGGUAAUAAGGUUUUGCUGGUUUCAUGAAAUGAAUUGGGAAACAUUUCAUCUUUUAUUUGGUAUGGAAUAAUUUAAAUAACAUUGUAAUUAUUUGUUCCUUAAUUGUUAGAACUCAGAUUUAAAGGUUUUUUGGCUGUGUUAUUUAAAAUAAUAGGGGAAGGGAGGGAAAAAUGAAACAAGACGAAACCAGAGGGGGAGACAAACCAUAAGAGACUCUUAAUCUCAGGAAACAAACUGAGGGUUGCUGGAGUGGAGGGGGUGUGGGAGGGAUGGGGUGGCUGGUUGAUAGACAUUGGGGAGAGUAUGUGUUGUCACGCUCAGGGUGUUGUGUAAGACUAAUGAAUCACAGACCUAUACCCCUGAAACAAAUAAUACAGUGUAUGUUAAUUUAAAAAAUUAAAAAAAAUAGCUCUUAAAAUGGUGUUAAAGGGAUCCCUGUUUCUAAAAAAAAAACAACAAUAAUAAUAAUAAUAAUAAUAGUCACCUGGGUGGCUCAGUCAGUUUACCGUUGGACUCUUGAUUUUGGCUCAGGUCAUGAUCUCAGGUCAUGGGAUUGAGCCCCCACAUCAGGCUCUGUGCUCAGCGUGGAGUCUGCUUGUCCCUCUGCCUCUGCUCUUCCCACAGCUUGGGCGUGUGCUGCACCUGUCUCUUUCUCUCUCUCAAAUAAAUAAAAUCUUUAUAAAUUAAUUAAUUAAAAAAAUAAUGGUCACCUUUCCAGUCUCUUCAUUGGUAAUUAGUCAGUUUGGCUUUUCUACUUAGUUUAAUUUGGGCUAUUUGUUAUUUUCUGGGAAAUCAUACAUUUCUUCUAUUCCCAGUCUUGCUAAUAUUUGUUUUGCUUUAUAUCUUUAGGCAGUUAAAAAAAAAUCUUUUGGAAUUAUCAGUUCUCCUACUUUUUCUCUGUAUCACCAAUUAUAUCUGUUAUUUUUAUUCAUUCACUCUUUAUAUUUUCUUUUGGUUAAUUUUGUGCCUUUUUUUUUAAACCUUAAGAUAAAUGUAACAUACCUGCAGUUGUAGUCAUUUGUCUUCAUAAUGAAAGGGUUUAGGGAAACAGUUUUUAUCUAAGUAUGGCUUUUGCUGUGUUCUGUACAUUUUUAUGUACUUAUUUUUUCAUUAAUUUCUAGGGAGUUUGUGAUUUUUCCUCUUUGAUCAACAGUUAAUUUUCAAGUCUUAAGAUGUUUCAAACCAUUUAAAAAUUAUUUCUAGUAUUAUUGAAUUAUGAUCAGUGACUAUGGCCUGUAAUAUACUUACUUUUAAAUAUUUGUUAUAGUUUGCUCUAUGGAAAUUUUUAUAAAACUAUGAACAAAUUAAAAUGUAAAUUCUCUCAAUGAGUGAAGUAAGAUUGCAUAUUGUUUUAGUUUAGACUGCUAUAAGAAAGGCAGCCUCACCCUUUGAAACCAUUCUGUCCCCUGAGUUCUUGCACUCUGGGCCUGUGAUGGCAGUGGGAGCUCUGAUGAUUUCUGAUUUACCCUGAUGGUGGGUGGUGGUGGUAGUCUUUCCUUGUCUUAAAGAACAGCAUCUGGCUUCUCUUGAGAUGGAUGUUUUAGGUCUGUGGUUUAGGUAUUAAUCUCCUUAUCAAAUGGUCACUUUGCUAUACCUUUAGUAUCCUCUUCCAAAAAUACGUUUUCAUUUUUUGCAGUAUGGAUAGGCUGAAAAUUUUCCAAAUCUUUAAGUUCUAGUUCCUUUUUUUUUUUUUGCUUAAUUAAUAAUUCUGUCUUCCAAUCAUUUCUCUCUUCUCACAUUUUACUGUAAGUGGUCAGGACGAACCAGGUCACUCCUUCAAUACUUUGCUUAGAGAUCUCCUCAGCUAAAUAUCCAGUUCCAUUGCUUGCAAGUUCUGCCUUCCACAAAACACUAAAACAUGAACACCGUUCAGCCAAGUUCUUUGUCACUUUAUAAUAAGGAUCAUCUUUUCUUCAGUUUCCAAUAACAUAUUCCUCAUUUCCAUCUGAAACCUAAUCAUAGUGGGCUUUGUGGUCCAUAUUUUUAUCAGCAUUCCAUUCAGGAUUAUUUAAGUAUUUUCUAAGAUGAUUGGGGUUUUCUCUCUGGCUCUCCUCUUUUCUUUCUGGGUCCUCACUAGAAUUACCCUUUAAUGCUCAUAUUUUGAGCAUGCACCUCUAAACCUUUUCAGCCACUACCCAUUAUCCAGUACCAAAGCCACUUCCACAUUUUUAGGCAUUUGUUACAGCAGCACCCCACUCUUGGUUCCAAAAUCUGUCAUAGUCAAGGUUCUCCAGAGAAACAGAGAAUUCCCACGAUCUGUUGUCUGAAGCUGGAGGCCCUAGAAAGCCAGUGGAGUAAUCCAUUCCAAAUUUGAAGGCCUGAGAACCAGAGGAGCCAGUGGUAUAAAUCCCAGUCCAGGGUCAGGAGAUGAGAUAAGAGGUCUCAGCUCAAAUGAUGAAGCAGGAAAAAAGGAGCAAAUUCCUCCUUCCUCCAUCUUUUAUUCUGUUUACACCCUCAACAGAUUGGAUGAAAUCCAUCCACACUGAGAAAGGCAAUCCACUAGUCCACCAAUUCAAAUGCUAAUCUCUGGAAACAGCUCUCACAGAUACACUCCGAAAUAAUGUUUAAUAUGGGCACUCCAUGGCCACUCAAGUAGAUGAAUUUAAGGAAGAAUUACCCUGGAGAUAUGCCUGAAUUAGUGGGUUGGAAAAAUCAAGAGGAAGAAAUAUCUAAAAACUAAGAAUAAAUACAUACCAAAAAAAAAAAAAAAUGAAUUAGGACAAAGACAUUGACUUAAAAACUCAAUUUUCAUACACCGUUUCUAUGGAAAUUACUGGAACUUGUGCAUUAUCAAAGUAAUGAUGUAAGCCAAGGGAGAAGAAAACAAAAUUUAAGAAAUAGGAUCUAACAGAAAAGAAAGGCAAAGGAAUUUACUGAGUGUUGGUGAAGAGAGAUACCAAAUGACAGCUGUGCAGCAGGCCUGAAAAUAAACCAAUUUAGACUGAAACAGGUCAGAAAACCCAAGGAGAGACUUCUUUAAGAAGAUGAAAUUAGUAAAAUACCUAAUGGGUUUGCAUGUAUUGAGAAAAGAUUUACAUAAGUUUUAGAGAACAUGGGGGAUUUGAAAUCUGUGGGGCCUGAUGUUUUCUAUAAAAAGUCUUGUAAAGUUUUAAAUGAUGCACAUGUGUAACUCUGUUAAAAAUAAAAUCCCCAAAAACCUAAAUUAAAAGGAAAUAAUGAGAGAAGACAGACUUCAUAGAUCCAAGAGAUAUAAUAUUAGGAGUUCCACAAAAACUAAAAAACUAAAAAAAAAAAAAAGAGAGAGAAAAUAGACCUUGUAUCAGAAGAAAGACCUAAGUUUGUAUCUUGAAGGGUACCCCAUUCCCUCACCCCAACCUGAGUUUUAAUUAGGGCUAAUGAGAAAAACUGAUAUGAUAUGCCUAUAAAAUUUUCAAACUCCAAGGUUAAUGAUAAAAUCUUACUGGAUUCUAGAUUAAAAAAACCAUGUUACUUGCAAAGGAAAAAAAUUCAGACUGAGAUUGAGUUUCCUGUAUGCAGCUUUGGAGACUAGAAGCUGAUAGGAUAAUAUGAAUGGAAUAGUGAGAGAAUUAUACCCCGUGAGUCCUAUAGUAGGCUAAACUGUCAGUUACUUGUCAGGGAGAAAGAUUUUUACAGAUGUGCAAGGUUCAGAGAUUAGUGAAGUCUUGAGGAAAUACUCUAACAAAAGUGAAUAGUAACUGUAGGAUAUGAGAAGAUAAAAAAGAGAGGAAAUAGUGGUAAGCAAUAAAGUUGACAGUAUGUACAUGGUUCAGUCUCAUUGAAUAAUGACAAAUGGAAAAUGCUUACUGUUAAGUUCUAAAGAAGCAUUCGGAUUUCUCCAGCUUUCAAUGUGAAGAUUUUUCAAAUAAGAGAUUUGAAAGGCUUUAAACUAGAUUCACCAAUUUCUCUUACAGUCUUUCUCUUCUAAUUCAGGAAUACUACUACUUUAGAAAUGACUAAUUCCAGGGCAGGAAAAGUAGAAGGUGAGCCUGCAUUGUUUUAACAUGCCAGGAAGCAAGGAGUUGCUCAAAGAUGAAUGGGAACAUGUCGAAAGGACAGAGAGUGCAUGCAGAAGAUCUACUGGGGAGUACUUUGGGAAGAAUUCACACCCAUAAGGGAGUGGAUAAGGCAGGAUUGGAAGAGAGAGAGAAGUUGAACUGUGAUGCAGUUCAUCUUCUAAAUGUGGAACUCUGGACCUGAGAUGGCUCUUCAGAGUUCUUCUGAAUUGAGGCAAGGGGGCUGACUCUUGUACCUCUCAUGGUCCAUUUAUUUGAUGUGGGCUUCCUCUGGAAAGGGGCGUACCCUCGGGUGAGGAAGCUCCCUUCCAUCGAGGACAGUUGCUGGGGAGAUGCCAGUUGUGAGCUGCUGCAUACGGUAUUUUCAUACCUGGGGAAGAGUGCCUCGGUCCUGAAGAAAGUCCUGGAUAGUGCAUCCUGACAGUUUCCAUUAUCGUCUGUUUGCUUCAUAUGAUAAGUUUAUCCCAUCUGGGAAUAGCUCCUCCAGGAUUAUGGUUGAUCUCUUUCUGGAAAUAGGAGUGGUAGGUAAGUAGGACUUAACUCCUUAACUCCAGUUUUUCUUGAUACCGCUGGUCUUGGGGCCACAACUAAUAAUUCAUUAUAUCCUUUUGAUACCAAUUCUAGAUUUCCCCUUACCUUUGGCUUACACCUCUGCUGGCCUAGGCAGAUUACCUGAGGUCAUUGAGUCCCUUAUAUCUGAGAGGUUCUGAGGCCUAGUCAUCAUGCUAACCAUAGUCUCCAGACUGUGGCUGUUGUAUUUGUCCAUUUGUUGUCAAAAUUAGGCAAGGAGUAUGAAGAGACACCUUUCAUAUAUAUUCUUCUUAUGACAAACGUGUUUAUCAUCUGGGUGAUAAAAAUAUAUUUCCCUGGCUGAUAAAAAUAUAGAAGUCCUAUCUCUUCCUGAUGACUAAAGUCAGUUACUCCUCCCAGAUUGGUGACUUCUUUCCUUGCCCUCUGGUCUCUUGGCCCAAGGUGAUUGAAGUGACCAGGUGGCAGUUGUAACUUAAAGUUUAAUGGGCUGUGUGUGUCCCUUGGUAAGAACAGGAACAGGAUCUGUAGGUUCAUAGAACCUAGCAUUGCUGGGAAGGGACAUAUACCUUGCCAAAUGGGUCACUGGGAAUGAUGGCAAAUGAGGCCAUUCCUACUUUCCCCCUCUUUGUUUCAUGGCUGUAUGUAUUUUACUUAUUACAGAUGCAGCAGCAUAUAUAAUGGUUAUUGAUUUAGAGUUUAACUGCAUCUUGGAGGAGGGUGGAUACUAUCCACAUGGUAUCUCCAAAGGAGUGCUUCAGUCAUGCCUUUAGAAUGCUCUUCCAUUGCUCAUAGGCCGGCAGCUUCUGAAUGUUGCAGUAUGUGAUAGGACUGGUGGAUCCCAUGGUCUUUGCUUAUAUCCUUUGCUAUAAAGAGGGUCCCUUGGUCUGAAGUAAUGUUACAUAGGAUAUAGUUAAAGUGGACCUGAAAUGUUAGCUCUCCGGAAGUGGUGCUAAGGCAAAUCCAUACUACUAAUAUGUGUUGAUUCUUGUCAGGUGAAUCACUUCCUUCCAGAGUGAAAAGGGUUCAAUGUAAUCAAUUUGUACUAAGUAUCUGCUUGAUCUCUUUGAGGCAGUGUGCCAUAUUAGGGGCUCAGCUUUGGUCUCUGUUACUGGCAUGUUGGAUAAUCUGCAGUAAUAAUUGGCUAGAUCAGCCUUGGUGAGAAGGAACCCAUACUGUCGGAGCCUGCCACCAUGGCUACUUUGUCCAUUAAACCAGCACUAAGGUGACAGUGGCAGAAGCUACAUGAUUUUGGUGGUUAGUAUUCUGUAUACUUGGUUGUUUCGUGCCUCUUUUUUGGUAGGUGUUCUCUAGUGUAGUAUUAAUAUGUGACAUAAAGAUCCUCAUACUUUGUGUCCACUCCCACACGCCAGUCUUCAUACCCUGUCCCCAGGAAAACCAGUUAAGAGACUUUGUAAUAUUUUAGAUGAGAGUUAAAGAAGUCCUGAGUUAGCAGAGUGCCAGUGAAUAUAUAAAUAAGCAUAUCUGAGCAGUGUUUCAGGUUAGGUUUGUGACAGUUUGGAGACUUCAGAGUUUUCAAUCAAUAGGAGGAUCAGGAAUCCAUUUUAAUGAUGGGAGGGAUUUAGGAAGAAGUUGGUCUGUAGGUGGGAGAGAUACAUUUUGUUUUGGACCACCAGACUAUAAAGAUCCUGGUCUGGAACUUACGCAGGAGGUCAGAAUUAGAAACAAACAUGUAGCCAUGUCAUAAGUCUACAUAGCCAUUUCAAAACUCAACUGCAGGGAGGAGUUUAUGUGCUAUCACUGCUCUAAUAUACCAUUUACAGUCCUCAACCAGCUGCUUACUGGGAGAAUGGGAGUAUGAGGGAGCAAAUUAAACAACAGCAGCAAAAAAUACAAGGAAAUUGUUUAAAUCAGGUUUAAAACUUAGGCUUAUGUAAGAAUUUUAAAAUUUCCUUUCAACAAUGCUUAUGUCUUAAUAUAACUGCUUGGGGUCUCAGUUAGCCUGUCACUUUAAGAUAGCAUCUUGGUAUGUGAUGGAGGGGUGACUUCUAUGAUCUUAUUGCUUGAAGCAAUCAGGAUUCUCAAUUCACAUAUUGUCUCAAGGCUCCCAGUGUUGCCGUGGCGAUGUCCUUUGUUGGUUGCUGCUCUCCCUGUCAACACUUGGGACUCCUCUCCUGCAGUUUUGUCAGAGCCUAGUAAUGUUUCUUGGCUGACAUGGCCUCUAGUGUUAGAGAGCUGGCCAGAAGUUAGAGUCAGCUCAGCUUAAGUGGACUCACUUUGAGCUGUGAUCCUCUCCCAUACUCAGAAACCUCAGCUGGCAAGCUCCCUAGCUAGAUGUUCUGGGGCUGAUCUAUGCCAGCCUUGGGAACUAAACUGAGAGGCUUUUUCUGACAGGCUUAGAAAUGUAUUUUGAUACUUUCUUACUCAUUUGCUUUUUAAUUUGUUCGGUAUCUGUCACUACCCACCCUUCCCUUCCAACAAACAUGCACACUAGAGUAUCAGUGGAUGAUAAUGGGGAUCUCAUUAGUUCUUGUUCAUUGCUAAAUCACAAGCUCUAAGGAAAGUACUUGUCACAUGGUUGACCUUUAAUAGAUCUUUAUCAGAUCAAUGAAGGACAGAAAUAAUAGGUGAAAUCCCUAAGAAUAUGUCAUGUGAGAACAAGAUGAGGAUUAAACUGCUUAGUACAUCUUUUACCUUCUAUUUUAGAGGUAGAAGGCAGAGGAAGUUCCAGGGAAGGAAACUGAGAAGAACUGAUCUGGAGAAGUAGGAAGAGAAUGGAGUGCAAAAAAGUGGGAGAAGUAUGUGUCAGUAAAGAGCAAUAAUCAUUGUCAAAGGCUUCAGAAAUCGAGUAGGAGUAACUGAAUAUGACAACUUGGAGGUUAUUGGUAAUUUUGGGUAAAGUACCAACACAUGAAUCUGCAAAAACUCAGAUCUCAAAGAAUUGUACUAUAAGAGGGAGAAGAGAAUUGUGGCAGCAAGUAAAGUCUUUUAUGAAGGUUGACAGUGAAGGGAAGAAGAGAUUAAGAUACGUCACUGGGGUCUUCAGAAACAGGACUCAUGGGGGCUCUCUUCCUUCAAGACGAAAGAGAUUUGGUGUUUCAGUAUGUAGGGAGACCUGGUGGAGGAAAUGGAGGAAGGCUAAAGAGAUGGUUUAUGAAUUAAGGUCUCAAAACUUAACUGGGAAAGGAUGAGAUCAACCUUAGGAAGAUAAGGAAAGAAGAAUGGAUGGAAAGUAGAAAAUCUGAAGCAAAUGGGAAGAACAUGAAGGGAUUUGCAUCAGAUUUUGCUUGUGUAAUAAGGUGUCCAGGUUAUCUGCUUGACGAUGCAUGUGUGCAGAACCCUGUGAAACACUGUGAAACAGGGCUGUGUCAUAAGGCUUGGCCCCCUGCCACUUCUUUUGCAUAUUUCUUUGACCCUAUCUAUUUUUUUUUUUUGAAAGAUUUUUUAUUUAUUUAUUUGACAGAGAGAGACACAGCCAGAGAGGGAACACAAGCAGGGGGAGUGGGAGAGGGAGAAGCAGGCUCUCCACUGAGCAGGGAGCCCAAUGCGGGGCUCGAUUCCAGGACCCAGGGAUCAUGACCUGAGCCGAAGGCAGGCGCUUAAUGACUGAGCCACCCAGGUGCCCCUGUUUGUCCCUAUCUUGACUGAAGGUGAGUGGCCAUGUUCCCUGGAAAUGUGUUCCCAGAGAAUUCUGAAGGAGAGAGUUCUUUAGUUCUUAUUCAGACUCAGGAGGCUUAGUCAAGGGCCAAUUAUCUUUCCCCAUAGGGAAAUUAAUUUCCAGGGAGAGACUUGGGUGCUCUGGAGUUCCCUAGAAUUGAUAGGAGGAUCUUAAUAGAUCUCAAACUCAACUCUGUGAUCCUGGGUUAUGUAAUUAAUAUGGAUAAUUCAGAUAGAACAUGUUUCAGAUUCCUUUAUACCUUAGCAGUGCUGACUCAUUAUCAGAUAAAAUUUAUUUACUCUGAAUGUUUCUUCUUAACUUGGUUCUCUUAAGAGCUGAUGACAGAGCCCACUAGUGUCUUAUUUUAGAUUAUCCUAUGAUAAUUAAGAGUUUAUGGAUUAUAGACUGAUGGGAAAAUUGUCUGAUAAGGUAACUUUAUGUUCUUUAUCCUGUUGAUUUCAUGUAUAUGGAUUUUGUAAAAUGUAGUUUUUUUGGACAAGGUAAAAGAUACCACAUACACAAAGAAGUACAUAAUGUGCACAUCUGGAGUUCAAAUAUUUAUUUAAAAUUGUUUUUAAUUAAUAAAAGUUUUAUAGAGUGCUACUUACCUUGCCUGUGCUUUUUGAUUGUCAUUAAUUUAUUCAUUUAUCAUAUAUUUAUUAGCUAUAAGGUGCAGGUUCUGUUCUAGGUGCUGGGAAUAUAAAUGUGGAAAGGAUACAGUACCUGAAUUUUAAGGAGCUUAUGGUCUGAUCUGGGAGACAGAUAAUUGUGAUAAAAUAAGUACAGUAGUAUAUAGUAUGUGUUAAAAAAGAAAUGUGUACAGGAUGGAGUAGAGCCCAAGGGAAGGAGAGUAGUCCUUUUCUCCCUCAGAAGGGUGGGGACCUGCUGUCAAGAAAGAUUAUCCUGAUGAAAUGAUGCCUGAAUCCUUAAAGACUGUAGGUUGAGCUUCCAGGAAUAGUUCCCAGACCCACAUUGGCUGAAGAGGGAUUGUUGCGUUUGCCACAAUUGGGAUGCGCUAAAGCAGAAAGACACCACCACAACUAUCAGCUCCAGUGUUUCUACUAUGAACAAAAAAAUAACCUGCCACCUUAGGAAGCUGCACUUAAAGCUGCCGUCCCAGACUAUGCCACUGCUGUUUCAAGUCAUCAAUGCAAGUGGAUGCCGAAGUCAAGGUUAACAUCUGAUUGUAGGAACUUAAAUGAAAUCUAGAACCCUAAGUGCAAGAGAUUGGGCAAUAGUUUUUAAGCUUUUUAGCCCCAGUACUAGAAGAAGGUGUUAGAACAUGUACUGAAUGAGCCAUUCCACAGUGUCUAGUAGAAAUAGCCAGCAUUUGGAGAUUUGACCAAGGUGGCCAUAUAGGAGGCUCCUGAACAUCCUUCCUUUCAUGGAUGUACCAAAUGUACAGCUACACUGAGAGAAGCACCCUCUGGAAGAAAUCCAAAAACUAGCUGAGCCAACUCCACACGUUGGGCGGAAGAGAAAAUACCUAGUGGUUGGAAGGGCUGAGACACACUCACCACAAAUCAUAUUCCUGUAGAGUGUCAUAAAAUUGAGAGGGAACCCCCAAAUCCCAGCUUCUCUUUGGGGAACAAAGAUUUUGGACUGCACAUCUAGCACCCCAACUUAUGACUCCCAACUGAGGGACUGACUGCAAUCCUCCCUCUUUGUGACACAGAUGGAUCUUGCACACCCUUGCCUGCUGAGAGCCGCUAAGAACAAAGGUGGUGGCUUGGAUAAUCAUAAAGGUUUGAGAGAUUACCAAGAGCUUGGGCUAAACUGAUUAAUGAAGUUCAUCUACCUGAGACCACUCUGUUAAAUUGGGAGAGGUGGCUUUUAUAUCUAAUGUGCAGAAACCAGCAGAGUCAAGACAUCUAGAUCUGAAAGCCAACAGGGCUUACCUCUACAAGACCCACAAGACUAUUGCAUACAAAGAAGCUGUUCUUAAUGGGUGUGUGACCGCUUGACACAACUGUCUCCCUAGGCUCAGAGUAGAGGGAGCAGGAAAAAACACCCAUCUUCUAGUCUUUCCCUGAAAAGGGUCUGACUGUAUACAUGCUAUUGUUUGAGGCUCUGGCUUUUUUUUUUUUUUUUUUAAGAUUUUAUUUAUUUGAGAGAUGGUGUGCACCAGCAGGGGUGGUGGUGGGGUGGGCAGAGGGAGAGGGAGAAGCAGACUCCCCACUGAGGCUGAUCCCAGGACUGAGCCACCCAGGUGCCCUGAGGGUCUGGCUUAUUAAUUUAGCAUGUAUCUAGUGACUGGCUGUGAUAUCCUCUAAAGACUGGGAAAGCUGUUGGAAAUUUCCACAGCCUUAAACUUAGUGGCCAAGAUCUCUCUGGAAGAAGCUUGUACACAUGUAUGGACCCCCAGCUUUUGUGGCUACAGCCUGAGGGAUGGGCCCCCAAGCCACCUAGCUCUGAUAGCCAACAGGGUUGCAUGCAUGAAUCCCAUAGGAUUAUAGCAAACAAGCAGUUUUUACAUGGGUACAGAAAUACCCCUCUCUGGCUAUAAACCUGUGCUUGGCACAAAGAGGGAAGGCAAAAAUGCCCAUUACCCAGGUUCUCCCUGAAAGGGGCUGAACUACAUACUUUUAUAGUUGCUGCCUGAAGGUCAAGGUUGUAAUCAGCCUGCAUUUAAGUGCUGACUAUAAUCCUCCCCCUUGUGACACAGAUGGGUCUUGCAUACCCAUACUGGGAGCCACUAAGAACAGAGGUAAUGGCUUGGGCAGUCAUAAAAGUUUGAGAGAGAGGAGGCUGGGCUGAACUAAUUGACAAGCUUCAUCUACAUGAGACCACUCUGUCAAACUGGGAGAGAAAAGUCAAUAUUAUAAUGAUAAAGGAGCCAAUUCAUCUAGAGGAUAUAACAUCUGUAAAUAAUAUGCACCUAUUAUAGGAGUACCUAAAUGUGUAAAGCACAUAUUAACAGAUCUGAAGGGAGAAAUAGCAGUACAAUAAUAGAAGGGGACUUCAACAUCCCUCUUUCAACAAUAGAUUGUCCAGACAGAAAAUCGAUAAGGAAACUUGGAUUUAAAUGACAUAUUAGACCAGAUGGACCUAACAGACAUAUACAGGACAUUUUAUCCAAAGCAACAGAAUCCACGUUUUCAAGUGCACUCGGAACACUCUCCAUGAUAGAUCACAUUAGGCAACAACAAGUCUUAAUACAUUUAAGAAGAUUGAAAUCAUAUCAAGCAUCUUUUUUGGCCACAGUAGUAUGAAAGUAGGAAUCAAUCACAAUGAGAAGACUGAAAAAUUUACAAGUAUUUGGAUAUUACAGCAUGAUUCUGAAGAACAAAUGGGUGAAAGAAAUUAAAGGAGAAAUAAAAGUAUCUUGAGACAAUGAAAAAGGAAACAAUAUACCAAAACUUACGGGAUUACCACAAAAGUAGUUCUAAGAGAGACGUAGUGAUAAAUGUCUACAUUAAGGAAAAAGAUCUCAAAUAGCCUACUUUUAUACCUCAAGGAACUAGAACAAACUAAGCCCAAAGUUAGUAGAAAGAUGGAAAUAACAAAUAUUAGAGUGGAAAUAUAUGAAACAGAGACUGAAAACAUGAUAGAAAAGAUCACUGUAAGAGCUGACUUUUGAAAAGAUAGACAAACCUUUAGCUGUACUCAUCAAGAAAAAAAGAUUGAAAAUCAGAAAUGAAAGAGAAGACCUAACAACUGAUAUACACAGAAAUACAAAGGAUCAUAAGAGAACACUACCAACAGUUUUACCCCAACAAAUUGAAAGAAACGAAUAAACAGAUACAUUCCUAGAAACACAACCUAUCAAUACUGAAUCAUGAAGAAAUAGAAAAUCUGAGUAGAACAAUUACUGAAAGGAAAUUGAGGCAGUAAUCCAAAGCCUCUCAGCAAAGAAAAGUUCAGGACCAGAUGGUUUACUGGUGAAUUCUACCAAACAUUUAAAGAAUUAAUACCCAUCCUUCUCAAACUCUUCCAAAAAAAUAGGGGUGGGGGGGAACACUUCUAAACUCAUUUUAAUAGGUCAGUAUUACCUGAUAUCAAAGCUAGAUCUUGACACUACAAUAAAAGAAUAUUACAGGCUAUUAUCUUUGAUCAGUGUAGAUGAAAAAUCCUCAAUGAAAUGUUAGCAAACUAAAUUCAACAAUACAGUAAAAGCAUUAUACACUGUGAUCAAGUGGGACUUACUCUGUGGAUGGAGUGAUGGUUCCACAUCCACAAAUAAUAUCAUACACCACUUUAAAAAUGAAGGAUAAAACUCCUAUGACAUCUCAAUAGAUGCAGAAAAAUCAUUUUAUAAAAUUCAACAUCCUUUCACCAUAAAAACAACACACUAGAUGUAGCAGGGAGAUACCUCAACAUAACAAAGAUCAUAUAUGACAAGCUCUAAAGCUAAUAUACUCAACAGUAAAAAGCUGAAAAUUUUUCCUCUAAGAUUGGGAGCAAGACAAGGGUACCCACUCGUUGCUUUUUAUUCAACAUAGUACUGGAAUUCGUACCUAGAACAAUUAGACUAGAAAAAGAAAUAAAAUAAUCCAAAUUGAAAAGGAACAAGUAGUCUUUUUUUGUGGAUGACAUAUAUAGGAAACCUAAAGAUCCAGUCUGAAACCAUUAGAACAAAUGGAUUCUAUAAAGUUGAAUGAUGCAAAAUCAAAAUACAAAACUUAAUUGCUUUUCUAUACACUAACAACAAACAGAUAUAGUUCCACUUUCUUGUGAAGCUUUUGUCUACUCUCACCCUUCCAAGAUAUUUAUAUCUUCCUGACCAUUUCAUUACUGCAUAUAUUUUUCUAUUAUUGCAUGCACUGAGCACUUUGUUACUGUUUUGAUUACUAGAUUAUGAUUGUUUUCAGUUCAGUAUUAUACAUAUCUCUAUCCUCAAUGCUUAGUAUUGCCUGAUACACAGUAAGCACUUAGUAAAUGAAGUACAUUUGUCAAAAGGGGUGAUUGGAAAGGAGUUAAGGUGGCAGAGGAGUAGGGGGACCCUGCACUUGGCUCGUUCCUUGAACCCAGCUAGAUAAAUAUCAAAUCAUUUUGAACACCCAAGAAAUCAGUCUGAGGACUGAGAAAACUGCACAUCCACAAGUAGAAAAACAACCACUUUGUGGAAGAUGGGGACUGCAGAGAGUUGAUUUGGGGGAGGAAAACUACAGGUGCUAUGGAGGGGAGGGAGACUUGAUUGUAGAGAGAGGAGUGAGAGAGGAAGUGAAGCAACAGGCAGAGAAUUAAAAACUUCCCCCAAACCAUUGACUGGGAGAAGGAGAGGGGCUGCCUACCUCAAGUUAUUAUAAGCAGUGGAGUGCAAAGUCUGAAGUUUUAGAAGUCUGAGUCAUGGGGUCGUGCCUGGGGGCUAAAUGGUGCUUUUGCAGGGAAGGAGGGCAGAGACCUGGGAGCAGGCAGCAUGGUCUGAGAAUCUCCUGGGUUGCAUGGGGAGAAAGAGUACCCCUUCUUGGAGUGCAUUUGGGAGUGGUGGCACGGCCUCUCCGGGGACAGAAGACCUGGCAGUGCCAACAUGCUGCCCAUUCCCUACCAUAGGAACAAAGACACCAGCUGAGGGCAGCAAGCCUUGGUGCCAGCUUAUUGCUAUGCUUUGCCAUAGACUCUGAACCACUGCUCGGCUGUGUGACUGCUUUUCUGGGACAAACUGGCAAAUGGCAAAAGUGCAGCAAGACCCUCCCCCAGAGGAUCAGUGCAGGUCUGUGUGGCAUGGGUCCAUAAAAUUUGAUUUUGAAACCGAACUGCACAACUGAGAAAAAAAGAGUACUGUGCUACCUGGCAGGCAGACAGGUGGGACAUAGGGUGAAGGCAGGGAUCUGAUGGAAGUCUGGGACACAAGAGGGGUGAUUGCUCUUCUGUGAGGGCUUCCUAAAGAGUGGUGGGCUCAAACUCUUUGUUCCAGGGAGGAGAGAGCGGGAUGAUGCCAUUUUCCCCACUGUCCAUCAGCAAUGACCAGGGAGCCUCAGUAACGCAGCACCUCCCCAGUGGAGACUGGAGUCACUUACCUCAAGUCCCACCCCACUGCACCCUGCAAAUGCAUAUCCACUAGAGCAAGUCCGCCUGAGAAUCAGCUCAGCAGGUCUCUCCCCCAGAACACCAGCACAAACCCUUUGCAUGGACCACAUCUACUGAUCAUAGAGUGCUGCAAAGCUUCAGCUCUAAGGGAAAUUGGAUCCAGCUAUUUUGUUUUCUUUUGUUUUUUGGAUCUAGCUUCUUUUAACAAGCAGACCAAAACAGACCUAGGAUCUAGCUUCCUUUUUUUUUUUAAAUCUCUUUUUAUCUCUUUUUAAUAUAACCAUUACUCUCAGGGGCAGGAAUACAACAGGCUUUCUUAAUCACACACAAAAAACAGUAACCCAGGCAAAAUGACAAGAUGGAGGAAUUCACCCCAAAAGAAAGAACAAGAAGAAGUCACAGCCAGGGAUUUAAUCAAUACAGAUACAAGUAAGAUGUCUGAACCAGAAUUUAAUCAAUAAUCAUAAGGAUACCAGCUGGGCUUGAGAAAAGCAUAGAAGACACUAGAGAAUCCCUUACUGCAGAGAUAAAAGAACUAAAAACUAGUGAGGCUGAAAUAAAAAAUGCUGUAACUGAGAUGCAAAACAGAAGGGAUUCCAUGACAAUGAGGAUGGAUGAAGUAGAGAAAUCAGUGAUACGGAAGAUAAAAUUAUGGAAAAUAAUGAAGCUGAAAAAAGGAGGUAAAGAAAGGUAUUCAAUCCCAAAUGUAGAUUUAGGGAACCCAGCAAUUCCUUAAAUUCCUUUUUAUCAUAGUCCCAGAAGAAGAAGAGAAAGAAAAAGGAGCAGAAGGUUUAUUUGAGCAAAUUAUAGCUUCCCUAAUCUGGGGAAGGAACUUCUCUAAUCUGGGGAAGAAAACAGACAUUGGAAUCCAAGAAGCACAGAGAACUCCCUUUAAAUUCAAUAAGAGCCAGCCAGCACCCAGACAUAUCAUAGUCAAAUUCACAAAACACACAGACAGGGAAAGAAUCCUGAAAGCAGCAAGGGAAAACAAAAGUCCUUAACCUACAGGGGAAGAUAGAUCAGGCUUGUAGCAGAUUUGCCCACAAAAACUUGGCAGGCCAGAAGACAGUGUCAUGAUAUAUUCAAUGUGCUGAAUGGAAAAAAUACACAGCCAAGAAUACUUAUCUAGCAAGGCUGUCAUUCAGAAUGGAAAGAGAGAUAAAGAGUUACCAGGACAAACAAAAACUAAAGGAGAUUGUGACCACUAAACCAGCCCUGCAAAAAUAUUAAAGGGGACUCUUUGGGGAAAAAAAGACCAACGGAAACAAAGACUAGAAAGGAACACGGAACAUCACCAGAAACACCAACUUUACAGGUAACACAAUGGGACUAAAUUCAUGUCUAUCAGUAAUCAUUGUGAAUAUAAUUGGACUAAAUGCUCCGAUCAAAAGACAUAGGGUAGGGGCGCCUGGGUGGCUCAGUUGGUUAAGCGACUGCCUUCAGCUCAGGUCAUGAUCCUGGAGUCCCGGGAUCGAGUCCCGCAUCGGGCUCCCUGCUCAGCAGGGAGUCUGCUUCUCCCUCUGACCCUCCCCCAUCUUGUGCUCUCUCUCAUUCUCUCUCUCUCAAAUAAAUAAAUAAAAUCUUUAAAAAAAAAAAAAGACAGGGUAUCAGAAUCGAUUAAAAACAAAAACAUCUAUAUGCUGCCUACAAGAGACCCAUUUUAUUUUAUUUUAUAUUAUUAUUUUUAAAGAUUUUAUUUAUUAGAGUGAGUGAGAGAGAGCACAAGUGGGGAGGGGCAGAGGGAGAGGGAGAAGCAGACUCCCUAUUGAAUGGGGAGCCUGACCCGGGGCUCAAUUCUGGGACUCCAUGAUCAUGACCUGAGCCAAAGGCAGACAUUUAACCGACUGAGCCAACCAGCCCCGAAGAGAUUCUGCACACUGCAAAUUGAAAGUGAGGGGAUGGAGAACCAUCUAUCAUGCUAAUGAACGCUAAAAGAGAGCUGGAGUAGCCAUACUUAUAUUAGACAAACUAGGUUUUAAACCAAAGACGGUAACAAGACUGGGACAUCUGGGUGGCUCAGUUGGUUAAGUGUCGGCCUUUGGCUCAGGUCAUGACCCUGGAGUCCAGGAUCAAGCCUUGCAUCGGGCUCCCUGCUCAGCAAGGAGUGUGCUUCUCCCCCUGCCUCUGCCCUGGCCCCUGCUCCUUCUCUCUCUCAAAUAAAUAAAUUAAAAUCUUAAAAAAAAAGCACAGGUGGUAACAAGAUGAAGAAGGACAUUAUAGCGUAAUUAAGGGGUCUAUCUAUCAAGAAGAUCUAACAACUGUAAAUAUGCCCCCAAAUUGGGAGUACCCAAAUAUAUAAAUCAACCAAUAAAGAACAUGAAGCUCAUUGAUAAUAUUAUAAUAAUAGUAGGGCAUUUUAACACCCUACUUACAGUAAUGGACAGAUCAUCUAAGCAGAAAAUCGACAGGGAAACAAUGGCUUUGAAUGACACACUGUACCAGAUGGACUUAACAGAUAUAUUCAGAAUAUUACAUCCUAAAGCAGUGCAAAUACAUACUCUUUUUCAGCGCACAUGGACCAUCUCCAGAUUAGAACACAUACUGGGUCCCAAAUCAGCCCUCAACAGGUACAAAAAGAUUGAGAUCAUAACAUGCAUAUUUUUAGACCGUAAUGAUACGAAACUUGAAUUCAACCACAAGAAAAAAUUUGGAAAGACCACGCAUACAUGAAUAUUAAAGAACAACCUACUAAAGAGUGAUGGGUUAACCAGGAAAUUAAAGAAGAAAUAAAAUACAUGGAAGCAAAUGAAAAUGAAAACAUGAUAGUCCAAAACCUCUGGGAUGCAACAAAUGCGGUCAGAGAUGUUACAUGGUGUGAUGGCAUAGUUGCUCUAAUGUUAACAUAUGCAAUCCUACAAGGUCACUAUUCCAGUUAUCUCCAUUUAUAGCAACAAAGACAGCUCCAGGAGGACAAGUAAUUUUGCCUGAGAUUAGUAGAGAGACACAGCAAGAGAAGGAACACAAGCAAGGGGAGUGAGAGAGGGAGAAGCAGGCCUCCGGCUGAGCAGGACCCCCACACAGGGCCAGAUCCCAGGACCACGGAAUCAUGACCCGAGCCGAAGGCAGACACUUAAUGACUGAGCCACCCACGCGCCCCUCAAGUUUCCCUCUUUUAAGGAUACAUGUAAUGGCAUUUAGGGUCCACCUGAAUAAUCUAGGAUGAUCUUUCCAUCUCAGGCUCCUUAACUUCAUCAUAUCUGCAAUGACCUUUUUUCCUUAUAAGGUAACAUUUACAGGUUGAUAUCUCAUUUGUGAGUUUGAUUUGCAUUUCUCUGAUGACUAAUGAAAUUGAAUACCUCUUCAUAUCUAUAUAGGCUUUUCUUAUGUGAAUCAUUUGCUCAUAUUUUUUCCUAUUGGUUGUCUGUUUUCUUUUUAUGAGAAAUUGAUUUGUAAUUGUGCAAAUUCUUUGUUGAUGGAUGUGUUGCCAAUAUCUUUUCCACUCUGUGACUUGUCUUUUCAUUUUCUUAGUUGUGUUUUUUGAUGAGUGGAAAGUCUUAAUUUUUUUUUAAAGAUUUUUUAUUUUUUAUUAGAGAGAGUACAAGCAGGGGGAGCGGCAGGUAGAGGGAUAGGGAGACAAUGUGAGUCUCGAUCCCAGGACCCUGGAAUCAUGACCUGGGCCGAAGGCAGCCCCUUGACCGACUGGGAGCCACCCAGGUGCCCCCGGAAGGUCUUAAUUUUUAUGUAGUUCAAUUUAACAAUCAUUUCUUUUAUGAUUAACACAUUCCGUAUCCUGUUUAAGAAAUCUUUGCUUGCUCUGAAGUCAUAAAGAUGUAAUUCAGGGGCGCCUGCCUUGCUCAGUCAGUAGAGCCUGCCACUCUUGAUCUCAGGGUUGUGAGUUCAAGCCCCACAUUGGGUGUGGAGAUUUCUUAAAAAUAAAAUCUUAAAAAAAGAGAUGUAUUCCAAAUUUAUCUUGGAAACUUUAUUUUUAAAUCACAUUUAGCUUUAUAAUUCAUGUGGAAUCAAUUUUUGCAUAUGGUGUGAGGUAAGGACAAGAUUCACUUUUUCAGAUGGAUAUGCACCAUAUUGUCUCCUUUUUCAUAAAUCAACUGGCCAUAUAUGUACAAAUUAAUUUUGUUUUAUAAAGUGAUGUAUGUGCUAGGAAUUGUAUUUGGUACUAAUGAUAUAGCUAGAAAUAAUAGAGGUUAUCUGUUCUGAAGAUGGUCUUCAUUGAAUGAGGAAGAUAAUAAAUGAGAUAAUGAAAAACAUAGUAAUCAUAUUAAAGUUGUAUGUUGUGAGUUAAGGGAAUAAGUUUUUCUAUGAGGAGAUGAGGAAAACUCUGCUAGAGGUGGCAGAAUUUGAGCUGGGUCUUGAAAAAUGAGUAGGAGUUUGAUAAAUGCAUCCCAUGUAGUAGGAAAAAUAGUGAAAAGACACAGGAUUGUCAAAGAGUAGGUGUAUUCAUAAAAUGGUGAGAAGUUUGCUAUAGGAAGAAGUGUGCAAGAAGGUGAGAGGGAGGAGGACAAAGGAGGACCAAGAGUUGAUGGAUACAAGGCUAGAACAUUUUAGGCAGAGAAGAUUACAUGUGUAGAAUUAAGUAAUUAUAAAGGAACAUGGUAUAUUUAUCAAUGGUGAGAAAUUCAGUAUGGCUAGAAGAUAGAUUGUGUUUGCAUGGGAGAGUGGUGUGAAGGAGCAUCAGGGGAGAGAUGAGGAGCUAAUGAAGAUGAGGAUGAAAUUUGGGUUGGACUUUAUUUUGAAGGAAAUUAGAGAGAAGGAAAGUUUCCAAUUAGCAAGUAGUUUUAGGAAAACCAUUUUAGGAAAAUGAGCCUGGGGGCAUAGAGGAUAGAUUAGAAGGUGGGAGAUUGGUAGAUGGAAAUAAGAAAAAUGAGGGUUGGCCAAGGGGUGGCAGUGGUGAUGGUGAGACAGUGUCACAUGUGGAACAAGUCGGAUAUAUAGUCAAGAGGACUGGUGACCAUGAAUGGUGAGGAAUAGGCAAGUGUAACAGAUGACAAAUUUAUAGUUUGAAAGACUGAGUGAAUGGUUACACUAUCAACUGAUAGAGGAAAUAUGAGGAGAAGGCUUAGCGGUAGCAAAUAAUAAAUUUUGGACUUAAUAGAUUUGAGAUGUUAGUGCAUUAAGUAGUUGGAGACAUCUAGGAAAAUUAAAAAUUAUGUGUGUGGAGCUCAAGAGGAAGGUAGGGAGGUCAAGGCUCUAAGUAUAUAUUUGAGAACCAUCAGCACAGAGAAGAUACUUGAAGCCAUAGGAAUGGAUGAAGUCAUCCAAGGAGAGUAAAAGGAGGAUUAAGAAAAUAAGUCUAGAGUCAAUUCAGAGUAACUUGAACACCUAAGAGGAGUAGAGGAAGAUGAGUCUGUGAAGGUGGGAUUUUUCCACUGCCCCAUCUGUGGUUUCUAAUUUUCAACAGUAGCAUUAUUUCUUGUGUAAUAUAAAAUAAAAUGAAAAGAAACAAUAGGUAUGAAAUUUAGGAAAAACAAGAAAGAGUUAUGUCAAGAAGUUAGGGAUGUUCACAGCUUUAGAUGACACACAAAGUAAAAAUAAACCAUAUAAUUUGUUAAUGAACUUCCCUUUUCCUUUUCCUUUGCUUUUAUUGGGAUAAUGUAUGUAUAGGGUUCAAAAAAUCAAAUAUGCUUUACAUAAAAGCAUUUGAUAAAAAGCACCAGUUUUUCUUCCUGCCCAGAUACCCAUUUCUCAAAAGCAGCCUAUGUUUAACUCUGUUUUUUUUUAGUUGUAAAAUGUCUAAAUAUAAGUAUGCUUGUUCCUCUGUAUUUUGAUUUACCUACUUUAGAUCGUGACUGUUGGGCUUGGCAGAAUUCUAACAUGGCUCCGAAGAUUCUCUCCAUGGUUUGCAUGCCUUGUAUAGUCCUUUUCCCUUGAGAGUUGGUUAUGCCUGUGAAUAUUAUGGGCUGUUACUCUAAUGAUUAGGUUAUUAGUCAGUUGACUUUCAGUUAAUGCAAAGAUUAUCCUGGGUGACCUAUUCAGAUGAGCAUUUUAAAAAGGGACCAGGACUUUCAAAAAAAAAUUCUCCUACCAGACUUGAAGAAGAAAGCGGUCAUAUUUUGAGAGAAGAGGGCCAUCUGGCUAGGACCUAGCUGUGGAAAGCGAACGCUGGCUGACAGAAGCAAGAAAUCGGGGACUUCAGUCAAACUGCAAGAUGAUGAAUUUUGUCAACCGUUAGAAAGUUUGGAAAAGGGCUCCAAGCCUCAGAUGUGAUUGCAGCCCUGGCUGACACCUUGGUUUCAGCCUGAUGAGAUCCAGAGCAGAGGAUCCAGCUAACCUGUGCCCAGACUCCUGAUCCACAGAAAAUUGUGAGAUAAUAAAUUUGUGUUGUUUUAAACUGAUAAAUUUGUAAGAAGUUGUCAUGCAGAAAUAGAACACUAAUACAAAUUUUAACUUCCAAUGAAAAGAUAUAAUUUAUUUACUUUUUCUCUUCAUUUCCCCUCUCAUUAUUUAAAUGUUGUAAUGACUUUAGUUCUUCAAAUGGUUUAUUUUGUUUGUUUCACUGCUAUUUCUUAUUCUUUUAAAUUUUAGUUAGAAUUUUGAUUCCUAUUAAUGUGGAAGAAGGAUAUUAACAAUUGUACUCUUUUUUUCCUCCUGAUUUCUGACUUUCACCUAGAGUGAGCAUAGUGAAGCCUGCUGGUAGGAGAAACCUGGCUCUAGUCUGGGGCAUCUAAGGAUGUGCAGCUGCACAGUGAUGGGAAUAUUGUGUAAUAAAAACACAGUACACCUGCUCAGAGUGAAUUAUUAUUAAUCUAUAAGGGAUGUGAGUUAAUUUAAAAAGGGUAUAUGCUCUUGCCAGUUGAUAAAACUUGGCUGGGUUUCUCAGGGAUGCUCUGCCCUGCCUGUUGAAACCAUCCCCUGAGAUGCUUAGGGAAGACAAGUAAAAGCUGCCAGGAAAAGGCUAAGGGAAAUUAAGUGUAGAAACUCUGCCUAGGAGGCUAAAGGAUAAUUUAAGUUCAUCAGAUGUCGAGAGACUUAGGUAUAAUUUAAUGCUGGGAAGAUAAACAACAGUUUCAUCUAAUUGGGAAGCCCCACUAUCAUUGGGUUUUCUGAUCCUCUUCAAUCUGCUUGAAUAUUUGCUGUUAAGGAAGAUGUAUUUUAUAGAGAGAUCUUUGGAAGUGUGGUAAUGUCUUGCAACACUACCUUCUAUGCAUUCCAGGUUAUUACCAUUGAGUCUCUUCUAUAACCCAAAUUGUGUUCUGGGUUUAGUUUAGAUUGAAUAGAAAAGUUUAAAAAUGAUAAACAGUAUUUCCAAUGUUAUGAACCUGUCACUGUGUUUGAGUUGCAAGUAGAAGAAACCAAUUUUAGUCACCUUAAGCAAAAGAGCUUUUUUUGGUUGGGAAGGAUCUCAGUCCCCAGGAUUGAUGGAAAGUGUGGAGAACCCAGCUCAGAAACAUGGUGCUAUAACUAAAGUAAAUGUAUGGGAGAUUGAAGAACUAGGAUAGGGAAUCUGAAAGGCUGCACCCCCAGACCAUGGGGUGGUAGGUAGAAGAAGAAUCUCACCUCUCAGAGGGACUCUUCAGGGACUUCUUUGAAUUUCAUCAAAGGUUGAGAGUAGGACGCAUUGAUUACAGUUCCACCAAGACUGUACCCCGUGAAAGAGCGAGUUUCCCAAAGGAGAUGGUGGAAUUGUUGGCAAGGAUGCCUGGAUGCCGGGCAGUGGAAAAAAGUUCUGAGGAUCACAUGGUGUUUAGAAUUUGCAAGCCUGAAGGGCAUCUAGGUCUUUUUCAGGGCUGCGAAAGGCUAAACUGAAAAGGGAUGUGGGGGGAAAGCAGGGAUGUCAUCAAACAUUAAGCUAGACUAAGAAAAGCAAUGUCCUUAUUCACUUAGCUAGAUCAAAAAAGCACCUCUAAAUCUGGGAAUUUAGACCUGUCUGCUUUAAAAUGGUCAUAAUCCAAGUCGUAAAGGGAGAUGGGAGAGGAUUUCACAGUGUUUCCACUUGCCUGCAAAGUUUCUCCACCUUGUCCAAUUAAUUUCAGAUCCAGUGUUCAGAAUAUUAUUAUAAUAUUAUUUCUCUUUGCUUGUGUCUAUGUAGUAAGUCUUGUCUAUGUUCUUUUCUAUAUCCAAUUAAAUGAAGAAUGGGACAUACUCUGUUUAUUCCUGAUUGCUUUCUGACCAGAAACCAUGCCUUCCUUGUUCGUUGUUGUAUUAUUCCUCCUAACGUUCUUCUACUCUGUUGUAGAAAGUGCUACUUGGAUUGCAAAGUACCCCUCUCCAAGUUACAAAAUGUAUAGGAAACUGCUUUCUGAAUUUCUAAGAGCUUAUUUUUUCAGACCAGUUCUUCACUGGGACAAUUAAAGCUGAGAUUUGAUAAUUAUCUUGAUACUUCAAUAGGAAAAUUCUCUUGCCUCAAUUACAUAAAAGUGGAUUACUUUGCUAUAAUUUGGACAGCUGUGUUUGUUCUUCCCAUCACUUGGCCACUCAGGUCCUUUGCAUAAGUUUCUUUAGAAGGACGGUAGAUGCUGAAGAGGGCAGCAUCCUUUCAGAGAUUGUGAACAUCCAGUUGGGAUGUGGUUGUGUUGUAAGCCUGAGAGAUGGUUACCAUGAAGAUAAUGUGACUGGCUUUGCUAUCAUCACUUAAAAAAUAAUUAUGUGCUUGACUGCUACUUGAGGAAAGAAAAUAUUCUCAAAUUAGAUUUUCCUUUCCAUUUAAAAGUGGAAACCUUUCCUCAUUGCUUAAGAAAAGUGAAGUCUGUAUGAUUCCUUUAGGCACAUAUAAGCCUAGAUGUGGAAGACUUAGUAGUUUUAUCUAACUGCUUAUUUAAAAGUCAGUAAAAACUUAGUAAAGGCAUAUAUGAUUAGAUUAUAAUGUUCUAGGUUUUUCAGCUUUAUAAUUAAAUUUAAAGUGUCUGUGUUGAAAUUUGUUUCAAUGAUAUUAGGGAAAAGAAAAAGUUCUUUUGGGGAUGGGGCAAGAGAAUUGAUUCCUUCUUUAGCAGGUUUCUCUCACUUUUGUGCCUUUUUCCUUUUGACCCAAUUUUUUUUUCUUUAUCCUUUAGAGAAACCUGAAGUUCAUCCUUACUUUUCCUUUCUGUCUCAUAUUCCACAGCCAUCAACUCUUGUCUCAUAUAUAUCUCUGGAAACCAUCCCAUUCACUGCUUUCCCACUGCCCAAGUUCAGACUUGCACCAUCUAUUUUGGAGACAACAGUUUCCAUUCUUGACGUCUUCCAUCUCAAUUCACCUUUCCUAUUGCCACCAGAAUUAUUGUCCUAAAAUGCAAAACUCUCUUGCUUAAAACCCUUCUGCAGUUCUCUUUCAAUUGUGGAUUAAAACCCAAACGUAGGAUCAUAAGUUCCUCAGUGAUAUAUCUUCUGCACAGUUUUCUUUCUCACCAACCACUCCUAUCCACACAUGUUCAAGGAACACUGAACUGUUGGGUGUCAAAUCCAAAAAAAAUCAUUGCCAAGACCAAUGUCAAGGAGCUUACCAACUGCAUAUGUUUUCUUCUAGGAGCUUUAUGAUUUCAGGUCUUACACUGAAGUCUUUAAUCUGUUUUGAGUUAAUUUUUGUGUAUGGUAUAAGAUAGUGAUCCAGUUUUAUUCUUUUGCAUGUGGCUGUCCGGUUUUCCAGCACCACUUAUUAAAGACACUUUUCCUUUCCUCUUGUGUUUUCUUGGUUUUUGUCAUAAAUUGGUUGACCAUAUAUGCAUGGAUUUAUUUCUGGGCUCUCUUUUCUAUUCUGUUGAUCUAUGUGUCUGUUUUUGGGCCAAUAUCAUAACAUUAUCGCUUUGUAAUGUAGUUUGAAAUCAGUGAGUAUAAUGCCUCCAACAUUGUUCUUCUUUCUCAAGAUUGCUUUGGCUAUUUAGGGUCUCUUAUGGUUCUACACAAAUUUUAGGAUUGUUUGUUCUAGUUCCGUGAAAAAUGCCAUUGGAAUUUUGAUAGGAAUUGCAUUGAAUCUAUAGAUUGCUUUGGAUUGUAUGGACAUUUUAAAAUAUUAAUUUUCCAAUUCAUGAGCACAGAAUGCUUUUUCAUCUAUUUGUGUCUUCAGUUUUUUUUCUUAAUGUCUUACCGUUUUCAGUGUAGAGGUUUUUUAUCUCCUUGGUUAUAUUUAUUUCUAGAUAUUUUAUUCUUUUUGAUGUAAUCAUAAAUGGGAUUGUUUUCUAAAUUUUUCAUUUUUUUUAAAGAUUUUAUUUAUUUGACAGAGAGAGACACAGCGAGAGAGGGAACACAAGCAGGGGGAGAGGGGGAGGGAGAAGCAGGCUUCCCACUGAUCAGGGAGCCCGAUGCGGGGCUCGAUCCCAGGACCCUGGGACUAUGACCUGAGCCGAAGGCAGAUGCUUAAUGACUGAGCCACCCAGAUGCCCCUAAAUUUUUCAUUCUGAUAAUUCAUUACUAGUGUAUAGGAAUGCAGCAGACUUUUGUUAAUUAAUUUUGUAUCCAAAACUUUACUGAAUUCAUUUGUUAGUUUUACCAGCUUUUUGGUGGAGUCUUUAGGGUUUUCUAUAUAUAAUAAUCAUGUCAUCUGCAAAUGCAAGUGAGAGUUUUACUUCUUGUAUUUCUUUUUCUUGCCUAAUUGUUCUGGUCAGGACUUCCAGUACCAUGUUGAAUAAAAAUGGUGUUAAUUCUUUUUUUUUUUUUAAGAUUUUAUUUAUUUAUUUGACAGAGAGAUAGAGAGCACAAGUAGGCAGAGCAGCAGGCAGAGAGAGAGGGAGAAGCAGGCUCUCCACUGAGCAGGGAGCCCAACAUGGGGCUCAAUCCCAGGACCCUGGGAUCAUGACCUGAGCUGAAGGCAGACACUUAACGACUGAGCCACCCAGGCACCCAAAAUGGUGUUAAUUCUUAAAUGUUUGGUAGAAUCCGCCAGUAAAGUCAUCUGGUCUUUGACUUUUUGGACUUCUUGAUUACCAAUUUGAUCUCUUUACUCAUUACUUGUCUGUUCACAUUUUCUGUUUCUUCAUGAUUCAGUUUUGGUGGGUUGUGUUUCUAGGAAUUCAUUAAUUUGGUCUAGGUUAUUCAGUUUCUUAGAGUACAAAUUUUCAUAGUAUUCUCUUAUAAUCCUUUUUGUUUCCAUGGCAUCUGUGUUAAUGUUCCUCUUUUGCUUAUGAUUUUAGUUAUUUGAGUCUUCUCUUUUAUUAAUCUAGCUAAUAAUCUGUCAAUUUGUUAAUUAUUUUUAAAACCAGCUCUUCUGUUGAUUUUGUCCUUUGUUUUUCUAGUCUUUUAUUUUGUUUAUGUCUGCUCCAAACUUUAUUUUAUUCUUCCUUCUGCUUAUUUUGGGUUUAGUUUGUUCUUUUUCUAAUUUCUUGAGGUGUUUAAACUAGGUUGUUGAUUUGAGAUAUUUCUUUUUUUAAUGCAUACAUUUACAUCUAUAGACUUUAGCACUGCAUUCACUGCAUCUCAUAAGUUUUGCUUUUCAUUUGUGUAAAGGUAUUUUCUAAUUUCCCUUGUGAUUUCUUCUUUGACCCACUGGUUGCUUAAGAAUGUGUUAAUUUCCAUAUAUGUGGAUUUUCCAGUUUUCCUUGUGCUAUUGAUUUCUAGUUUAAUUUCAUUAUGAUUGAAAAAGAUACUUGUAUGAUUACAAUCUUCUUGAAUUUGUUAAGACUUGUUUUGUGGCCUACUAUGGUCUAUCCUGGAGAAGGAUCUCUGUUCACUUGAGAAUAUGUAUUCUGCUGCUGUUGGAUGGAAUGUUCUUUAUGUAUCCUAGAUUCAUCUGUUAUAACAUGUAUUAUAAGUCCAGUGUUUCCUUAUUGAUUUUCUGUCUGGUGGUUCUAUACAUUAUUGAAAGUGGGGUAUUGCUUUUAUUCUCCCUUCAGUCUGUCUUUGCUUUAUACAUUUAGGAGCUCUGAGGUUUGGUGCAUAAAUAUUUAGAAUUGUUAUAUCUUCUUGGUCAACUUUUGUAUAAUGUCAUUCUUGGUCUCUUGUUAACAGCUUUGAUUUAAAGUCUGUUUUGUCUGAUAUUAGUAUAGGCACUCCUGCUUUCUUUUGGUUGCCAUUUGCAUGGAUUUUUUUUAAUCCUUUCACUUUCAGCUUAUGAAUGUCCUUGUAUCUAAAAUGAGUCUCUUGUUAAAAAUGUAAUGAUCCGAAGUGGCACAUGCAUCCUGAUGUUUAUAGCAGCAAUGUCCACAAUAGCCAAACUAUGGAAAGAGCCAAGAUGUCCAUUCACAGAUGAAUGGAUAAAGAAGAUGUGGUAUAUAUAUACAAUGGAAUAUUACUCAACCAUCAGAAAGGAUGAAUACUGGGCGCCUGGGUGGCUCAGUUGGUUAAGCGACUGCCUUUGGCUCAGGUCAUGAUCCUGGAGUCCCAGGAUCGAGUCCCUCAUCGGGCUCCCUGCUCAGUGGGGAGUCUGCUUCUCCCUCUGACCCUCUUCCCUCUCGUGCUGUCUCUCAUUCUCUCUCUCAAAUAAAUAAAUAAAAUCUUUAAAAAAAAAAAAAAGAAAGGAUGAAUACUUACCAUUUACAUUGACAUGGAUGGAACUGGAGGGUAUUAUGCUGAGUGAAAUAAGCCAAUCAGAGAAAGACAAUUAUAUGGUUUCACUCAUAUGUGGAAUAUAAGAAACAGUGCAGAAGAUCAUAGAGGAAGGGAGGGAAAACUGAAUGGGCAGUUAUCAGAGAGGGAGACAAUGAGAGAUUCUUAGCUAUAGGAAACAAAUUGAGGGUUGCUGGAGGGGAGGUGGGUGGGAGGAUGGGGUAACUGGGUGAUGCUUAUUAAGGAGGGCACAUGAUGUGAUGAGCACUGGGUGUUAUAUGCAACUGAUGAAUUCUUGAACUCUACAUAUAGUACAUUAUAUUGAACUAAUGAUGUACUAUAUGUUGGUUAAUUGAAUUUAAAUAAAAAAAUAGUCUCUUGUAAUCAGUAUAUAAUUGGAUCUUUUAAAAAAAUCCAUUCAGCCAAUUUAUGUCAUUUGAUAGGAAUUUAAUCCAUUUACAUUAAUUACUGAUAAGGAAAGAUUUACUAUUGCUAAUUUUGUUAAUUGUUUUCUGUGUAUCUUUUUAGUUUAUUUGGGGGAGAAGAGAGGAAAGCGGAGAGGGAAAGGGAAAGAGAGAUUAUUAUUAUUAUUUUUUAAAGAUUUUAUUUAUUUAUUUGAGAGAGAAGAGAGAGAGCAUGAGCGGGGAGAAGGGCAGAGGGAAAAGCAGACUCCUCGCUGAGCAGGGAGCCCGAUGCAGGGCUUGAUGACGGAACUCCGGGAUCGUGAUCUGAGGUAGUCGCUUAACCAAGUGAGCCACCCAGGCGCCUUGGAAAGAGAGAUUAUUAAGCAGGCUUGAUCUAGGACACUGAGAUCAUAACCUGAGCAGAAAUCAAGAGUCAGAUGCUUAACCAAGUCAACUAAGUAGCCAACUAAGCGUCCCGGUUUUUUGUAUAUCUUGGACAUUUUUUUCCUCUUCUUUCCUGUCUUUCUUCCUGUGUUUCACUGACUUUGGUAAUGAUGUGUUUUGAUUCCUUUCUCAUUUCCUCUGGUGUAUAUUUUAAAGGUAUUUUCUUUGUGAUCACCAUUCCAAUUAUAUAAAAAAUCUUAAGUUAUAGCUUCUAUUUUAAACUGAUAACAACUUCAAUUACAUACAAAUAGCCUUUACUGUUCCACCCCCCUUUUUUGUUAUUGUCACAAAUCACAUCUUUAUAUAUUAUAUACUCAUUGACAUAGACUUAUGGUUUAAAAAAAAUGUUUUUGUCCUUUAAACUCUAUGGUCCAAAAUUACAAUAGGUCAGGCUACUGUAUUAGUCCAUAUAUUUACCUUUACUGGAGAAUCUUGUUUUUUUCUUAUGGCUUUGUGUUACUGUCUAUUGUCCAUAUGUUUCAACUUGAAUAACUCCCUUUAGCACUUCUUGUCAAACAGGUUUAUUGGUAAUGAAUUCCCUCAGCUUUUGUUUAGGAACAUCUUAAUAUCUUCUUUCUUUAAAAUUGAGAUGUAUUUGAGGGGCACCUAGGUGGCUCAUUAGGUUAAACAUCUGCCUUGGCAUCAGGUCAUGAUCCCAGUCUCCUGGGAUUGAGCCCCACAUUGGGCUCCCUGCUUAGUGGGGAGUCUGCUUCUCCCUCUCGCUCUGCCCCUCCCCACUGCUAGUGCUGUCUCUCAAAUAAAUAAAAUCUUUUAAAAAAUAAAAUUGAAAUCUAUUUGCCAUAUAAUAUUGUAUUAGUUUCAGGUGUACAGCAUUGUGAUCCAAUGUUUGUAUACAUUGUGAAAUGAUCAUCACAAUAAGUUUAGUUAAUAUCUCUCCUUAUUUUUUUUUAAGAUUAUUUUUAUUUAUUUGACAGAGAGAAUGAGAGAGUGAGCACUUCCAAGAUUGUCUCUUGUACCUUCUUUUGCAGCUUCCAAGAUUAUCUUUUGGUCUUUUACUUUAGACAGUUUGGUUAUAAUAAGUCUUUGUGUGGUUCUUUUUGGAUUUAUUCUAGUUAGAGUUUUUUUGAGAUUUUAAAAUUUGUGUGUCCAUUUCUUUCCUCAGAUUUGGGAAGUUUGGCCCAUUAUUUUUUCAAAUAAGUUAUUUGCCUCUUUCUUUUUUCUCCUCCAAAGAUUUCUAUAACAUAUAUGCUUAUCUGCUUGUUAGUGUUCUAUCAGUUUGUUAGGCUCUCUUCACUUUUUUCUUUUUUCAUUCUCUUUUCUUUUUGUUUCUUGGAAUUGAUGAUUUGAAAUGGCUUGGCUAAAUUCUUUGAUUUUUUUCACCUGAUCAAGUAUGCUGUUCAAGUUCACUAAUGAAAUUUUCAGUUUAGUUAUUGUAUUUUCCAGCUCUAGAAUUUGUGUUUGGUUCUUUUUUUUGAUAGUUUCUGUUUCUUUGUUUAUGUUCUUAUUUUGUUCAUGCAUUAUUUUCUUGAUUUCUUUUUUUUUUUUUUUUGACGAUUUUAUUUGUUUGACAGAGAGAGACACAGCAAGAGAGGGAACACAAGCAGGGAGAGUAGGAGAGGGAGAAGCAGGCUUCCCGCCGAGCAGGGAGCCCGAUGUGAGGCUCGAUCCCAGGACCCUGGGACCAUGACCUGAGCCAAAGGCAGAUGCUUAACGACUGAGCCACCCAGGCGCCCCUAUUUUCUUGAUUUCGUUUAGUUGUCUGUGUUCUUUUUUAGUUAACUGAACAUCUAUUUUGAUAUUUUAAAUUCUUUGUCAGGCAGCUCUUGAUCUGCAUUUCUUUAGGAUUGGUUUCUGGUAUAUUCUUUUGUACCUUUGAUUGGGCUAUGAUUCUCUGUUUCUUUGUAUGCCUUGUAAUUUCUUAUUGGAUUUGGACAUUUGAAAAAACAAUCACCUCUCUCAGUCUUUGUGUACUGGCUUUGUACAGGGCAAUACCUUUGCCAAUCAGCCGGGUUAGAAGUUCUGACCUUUGAAACUUUUUCUGAUCUCUUGCUCUUCCUGGCAUGUGCCUGUGGAACUAUAGCUUGAAUGUUUUCAGCAGCUUCUGAACUCUGGUCUGGUCUUGUCAGCACUCAGAGUCAACUAAGACAGACACCAUGACAGAAGCCUUUAUACAAGGCAGAAUUUUGAAUGUGGAGUCUACUUCAUAUUUCCAUGCUGAGGAAGGAGCUCUGGUAUGGAGUUUCCUCCUGGAUGCUCUGUACUAUGCUGCAUGGGGCAAGGGACAUGGACAGGUGUGCCAAAUGGUAUAAUUUUUCCUACUCCUUUCACUGGAAUCUCUUCUUAGUUUUCCAGUAGCUUGGAUGCUGUAGCUUUUUUACCUCUAGAGUUCUUACAUAGGUAUUCUGGUACAUACAUUUUUAAGUCAGUGUUUCUAUGAAAGGAGAGCCAGUAGCCUUAUAGUUCACCAUAUUCCUAGAAAUAAUAUUUUAAAGCAAAAUAAUUAUUUAGAAUAUAGGAUCUAUUGUCUAUUAAUAAUGAUCUCUUAUUCUAUUGUACUAUUAAAUAACAUGUUUAGAAAUUCAUUUAUUUUCAUGUUUAGUUUAUCCUGACCUGCACUUUUGCUGUAUCAAUUUAUUUUAGGAGAAGACAGGCUCAUCUUUGGGUUCCUUAAAUUCCAAUUAACUAUUUGCCUACACAGUACAAAUAUCAUAUUUUUUGAUACUUAAAUUUUUAAAAAAGACAAUAUUUGUGUUCAGAUAAUAGGCUACCAAAUAGGCUUUCUGUGCAUAUGUGUGUGUGGAUGCAUACAUGUGUAUAUGUAAUGAGGAGGCCAAGGGAAGAGUAGGGUCUUUCCUCCAGACUUACUACAAGUAGGAUACCUGCAUUUGAGACUAGUGGAAAUAGGGUGUUUGUAUUGGAUUUCAUCUAUGGAUGCAUUGAAAGCAGGGAAGAGUUCAGAUUAUAGGGUAUGGUCUUUUGGAAUUAGUAAAUUAUGAAUAGUUAUUUAUUGCUUCUGUUUCUCACUGCCAAGGUCAUUGUGUGAUUAUGCUAAUAAAGGUGUAUUUACUACUUACCUAAGGUAAUGUUAUGGGUUAAAUUGU
Mirounga angustirostris (Northern elephant seal) is the source of this 30477-nucleotide RNA transcript. RefSeq lists it as uncharacterized. The record is from RefSeq and is a predicted model, not a curated record. NCBI's taxonomy places the organism in Eukaryota, Metazoa, Chordata, Mammalia, Carnivora, Phocidae. The transcript is spliced from 5 exons.